GGACGAGAAAGAGAGAAAACGAUUGAUAGCGGCCUCCAAACUUGGUUGCAUAAUGUAAGAUUACAAUAGUUUAUAUAGUGCAAAACUAAGGAAACAUAAUAAGACUAAACUACCCUUAAUCUAAUUAACUUAUUACUUUAAUAUCCCCCCUCAAACUCACGAUACUAAAACAAGGAGCAACGAGAGUUUGAUCAACAAAAAACGUAAAUGAUAAAUCGAAUUUGACUUCGUGGCAAAGUCUAGAAGUUGCAACAACGGAGAGCAACGAAAGGUAGGGAAAUGAUGCCAAACUACAGAUAACUAACGAAACUACACAAUAUUAACUAAACCAAACGGAUGCAAAUUUCAAAUUCCAAAUUCCAAAUGAACUUGACAUAUCAAUUCCAAGAACUGACUAUACCAAAUUCCAAACUCUAGAUAGACUGGACAAACAACUGACUAUACCAAAUUCCAAAUUCCCAAACUCCAGAUAAACUGGACAAACAAUUAACUAUGCCAAAUUCCAAACUCCAGAUAGAUUGGACAAACAAACAAAAUUUCCAAAUCCCAUAAACUGAGCAAACAAACAAAAUUUCCAAAGCUCGUGAACCGGGCAUCAAACGAAAUUUUCAAUCCCACGAACUGGGCACAAAUUUCAAAUUCAAACUCAACAAAUGCUAAAUUCCAGAUACACUGGAUCAACACCAAAACAAAUUUCCAAUCCAAACUAGGUCCAACAUUAAUUAACCGAUCCAAUAAACUGUCUAAUACGCCAAAAGUAACCCAAACCAAUCAACAUCUAAUCUUGACAAAGUCCACUUUUAAAAAUAUCUUGAACUAAAUGGACAACCCACAAUUUUCCACCACAUACUAUCCUUUUAAUCAAAUAGGCCCAAAAGCUUAAAUAAUAUCCAGCAGUCAGCCCACACAAAAUUAGCCCAACUGAAAUUAAGUGCUCAGCAAAGUCCAAUUAAUGAGGAAAUCUUCAUGGCCAAAAUUGAAACACCCAACACCUUAUUCAAGCCCACUAUCCAAUUGAACCCAAUUUCAUACUUCAGUACCCAGAAACCUUCUACAGCCCAUAUAACAAAAUACCCAAUUAACCGGUCCAGAACACCAUAUGGCCCAAUAAACAACCCAUAUAUUAACCAAAACCCACUUUCUUGAAAAUCAAGGUACCCAGCCCAACUAACCAAUCCAUGAAACCCAAAACUUUAUACUAUGGCCCUUAUAAUACUUCAACCCAAUCAUACAAAUCUUAUUUAAUUCAAGCCCAAUUACACAAUAAACCCUUCAAUACAACGUCUCUAAAACAAACCCGAAGCCGCCAACCACAGCUCAGCCACCGGGAUCUGCCAUCUUCACCACAGGCCUUGUCGCCAGUCGCCCCUCAAAAGAAAUCAGAUUGAGCGGCGUCGAUGAAUCUCACAACUCUGACCAACGAACUAAAAAAAAGACAGUAAAACUUUACUGAUUCAGCCCAAAUCGACUCCGAAAACUGCCGUCAAACGUCGAGUUUCACCGUGGUCGGCCACCAUCUCGCCAAAUCAAGCUAACCAUAAGCAGUCGAUUGAAAUUUCCCCGUCGAUCCCCAUCUUAAACCAGUUCACUGCACCCCGCCUAUGGCACCACAUCCGUCUGAUCGUCUCCAUAUCAAGACUCCAUCACCGAACCUCCAUGGCCACAACAACAAUACUCAACCACACAAACAACCUAUAAACCACUGCAUCAAUCUUUGGUUUCAGUCCCUGCCUCUGGGAAGAAAUCACCAAUAGAACUAAAUGGAGACACCACACAAAUGGACGACUACCACAGGUAUUGACCGGAACCGAGGCUGCUGUUGAUCCACGAAACUCACGACGGAGAACUGAAAACUGCCUGUAUCUAUGACUUGAAUCCAAAAAAAAAAAAAAACUGCAAAAAAAAAAAAAAAAUCACACUUUGGCCGGGCGAGCAGCACGAGGCUGCUUGCUGCUCGCCGGAAACGGAAUUCACUAAUUUGUUUUAGAUCAGAAUGGCUCUGAUACCAUGUUAAAAAACAACAGACCAAAGAUAAAAAAACGGAGGAGAAAGAGAGAAAACGAUUGAUAGCGGCCUCCAAACUUGGUUGCAUAAUGUAAGAUUAUAAUAGUUUAUAUAGUGCAAAACUAAGGAAACAUAAUAAGACUAAACUACCCUUAAUCUAAUUAACUUAUUACUUUAACAAGUAGAAGUUACCAUGACAAACACAACUAUUCUCACCUCGUCUCUCUUCUUGUAUCGGUAUAAAAGUUCUUCAAUCCUUGUACAUUUGAGGCCAG
Molecule: long non-coding RNA, 2279 nt
Filed under: Olea europaea subsp. europaea
Lineage: Eukaryota; Viridiplantae; Streptophyta; Magnoliopsida; Lamiales; Oleaceae
Source: RNAcentral